RNAcentral lists this ribosomal RNA (282 nucleotides) under Mammaliicoccus sciuri. RNAcentral describes it as "Staphylococcus sciuri partial 23S ribosomal RNA". It matches the Rfam family "Bacterial large subunit ribosomal RNA", at positions 2345 to 2627 of the family's 2925-position model. Lineage: Bacteria; Bacillati; Bacillota; Bacilli; Caryophanales; Staphylococcaceae. The record is from RNAcentral.
CAGAGGUAACAGCACGAGGAGGCAUAGCGGCGACACCUACACGACGAGCAGGGACGCAUGACGGAAUUUGUGAUCCGGUGGUGCCGCAUGGAGGAUACAGCACUGAACGGAUAAAAGCUACCCCGGGGAUAACAGGCUUAUCACCCCAAAGAGUACACAACGACGGGGGGAUGUGGCACCUAGAUAUCGGCUCAUCGCAUCCUGGGGCUGUAGUCGGUCCCAAGGGUUGGGCUGUUCGCACAUUAAAGCGGUACGCGAGCUGGGUUCAGAACGUCGUGAGAC